Long non-coding RNA from Suricata suricatta (meerkat), 844 nucleotides. RefSeq lists it as uncharacterized. NCBI's taxonomy places the organism in Eukaryota, Metazoa, Chordata, Mammalia, Carnivora, Herpestidae. The record is from RefSeq and is a predicted model, not a curated record. The transcript has 2 exons.
UAUUUAUUCAAACAUCAAGCCUAAUGUUUAGCACAAAGUUAAGGACUGAGUAAAUAUUAGCUGAGGAUGCUAGAGUUGUUAUUUGCAAUUUCAUUAUUAUUAAUACAUGAGACAAUAUGGCAUGGUAGUUCAAGCUCAAGCUCUGGAAUCAGACAAAAUUGGGUCUAACUCCCGGCACCACAUUUACCAACUUUGUUUUGCAGUUACUCAGCCUCCCAUGCCUUCCUUUACUCAUCUACAAAAGGCAGGUUGUAAUAACAUUUGCCUCAGAAGGUCACUCCCUCUAGAAAAGAACUGGUUUGAAGUGUUCUAUGGAAGAAUCAGGUGCUUGUUUAAGGAUAUUUCCAUACAAUGAGAGCCUUUUGAGUAUGGUCUGAAGAGGGAUCAUCAACAUCAUCCAGAAGAAAUGUAGCAAUGCAGAAUCUCAACACCCAUCCCAGACUUAAGGAAUCUAAAUCUUCAUUUUAAUAAGAUCCCACAGUGAUUCUUAUGUUUGGAAUAUAUUUCUAGGCCCAAGAUGGAGCUACUCUUGCCCAGAGUGCCACAUCAGCAAACCAAAACUUAGGUAACUUUCAUGUCCCAGCAAAUGCUCUGCUUGACCAGAAGCACUGUAUAUCCAGUCAGCCAGUCCCAAACACGAAGAACUCUGGGCUCUAUAUUUACUUUCUUAAUCCUUCUCACCCCAAACCAGGCUAUGUGACCCUAGCCAAUCAGAUAUUUUCCAUUUUUCUCUUCCUUGUUCUUUGUUCUUUAUUUCAUAAAAACUUCCUGACUUUCACCCCAUUUUGCAUUUCUCUGGAGACUGUUCACUUCAUGAAGGGUUAAAUAAAGUUUGUUAAUAUUA